UACGAGGGGGGCAAGCGUUGUUCGGAAUUAUUGGGCGUAAAGGGCGCGUAGGCGGUGCGGUAAGUCACCUGUGAAACCUCUAGGCUCAACCUAGAGCCUGCAGGCGAAACUGCCGUGCUUGAGGGUGGGAGAGGUGCGUGGAAUUCCCGGUGUAGCGGUGAAAUGCGUAGAUAUUGGGAGGAACACCUGUGGCGAAAGCGGCGCACUGGACCACAUCUGACGCUGAGGCGCGAAAGCUAGGGGAGCAAACAGG
RNAcentral lists this ribosomal RNA (253 nucleotides) under uncultured bacterium. RNAcentral's name for it is "partial 16S ribosomal RNA". It matches the Rfam family "Bacterial small subunit ribosomal RNA", at positions 524 to 776 of the family's 1533-position model. The record is from RNAcentral.